This 5141-nucleotide long non-coding RNA is filed under the name Mus musculus (house mouse). RNAcentral describes it as "long non-coding RNA chr1:156583107-156588248". Lineage: Eukaryota; Metazoa; Chordata; Mammalia; Rodentia; Muridae. The record is from RNAcentral.
GGAGAGCUUGGCACUCUGCGUGUUCAGCACACUGCUUCUCUUACGGUUUUCUAGAGAAACAACUGAUAGAAUGAAUCUCUAUAUCAAGCAGACUUAUGAGAGUGGCUUACAGGCUGUGGUCUAGCUAGACAAACAAUGGCUGUCUUCCACGGGAAUCUCAGUAUUUCAGUAGUCUUUCAGUCCAUGAGGACUUCAGUGUAUCCUGGGAUCCAGAAGAAGUAGGCUCUAAUGCCAGUGAAGCAGGUAUUGAUACAGCCUCAGGGCAGAUGAACUGGCCAGUGGGAGUGAGGGCGAGCAGGCAAAACGAAAAAGCUUCUCUCCCAUGUCCUUUAUGUUGGCUGCCACGAGAAGGUGUGCCUCAGAGUUAGGGUGGGUCUUCCUACCUCAAAUAACCCAAUUAAGAAAAACCCAUUAGGUAUGCCUAGCUGCUUUGGAUUUUAGUUAAUUCCAGAUGUAGUCAAGACUACCUAUCACAAGUAGGUACUUUUUUUUUUUCCUGUAAAGACAUUAACAGUACCUUAAAAUUGUUAACCUCUGUGGUCAUGGUGACUGGUGUGGGCUUGCAAUCCCAGGAUUGAAGAGGCAGAGAGGAGGGUCAUUGUAAACUGGAGGCAACAUAGGAGACCUUGUCUGAGCAAAAAUCAAACUUUUUCAGUUAUUUUUUUUUAUUCUACAUUAGCAGAAAUAAUACGACAUGUGAACAAUUUCUAAGCCCUCUACAAAUAGUUUUGUCAAAUACUGGCUUUUUGGGAAGCAUCCUGUUUAAUAUUUAUAAUUAGGUUGUUGACUUUGAUCAAUGAAGUAUUUUAACUUUCAUAAGAAAUUCCUUUGUUUAAAUUGUGUUACUAGGGAAAUAUUAAGUAAAUUGGUUUUAAUUUUAAAAUUUAUUUUUAUAUAAAAGUCCUUUGGCCUGGUGGUGGCGGCAUGUCCCUUUAAUCCCAGCACUCAAGAUUGUAAACACACAGGCAGAGAACUAGUUUCGAGGCCAGCCUGGUCUACAGAGUUAGGUCCAGGACAGCCUAGGCUACUCAGAGAAACCCUGUCUCGAACGAAUGAACGAACAGGACCUUUGAAGAGAAUGUAUUAGAAACAAUACUUUAGGAAAAAAUGGAUAAGUUUCUGUUUCAUAAGAAUUUUAUUGAUCUCAAAAUUAUGACAUUUACAAAAACCACAAUACUGCUUUUACUAUGUGUAAAAAGGAGGGUUUCUUGUGAGUUUAUUAUCGGUUUACUAAGUUAAAAAAUUGUUCCUUACCAGGCCACUAGGGGCUACUCCUGUAUUUAGGCAGAAGAUGCAGUUACCACUACAGCUUAAAAAUCAUCUCCUUCUAGUGUAAUUAGCACUGCCUCAUUUGCUUACAUGAACAAAGUAGAGUUUUAAGGCUGCUUUGAGCUAUUAAUUUUGAUAAUAAUAUGCACCUUUGAUAAGGAUUUGCAGUAAUUUUACUUUUUACAUUUAUUUACUGGUAUGAUGUAUGUGAAGAGGUCAGAAGACAACCUGUGGGAGUCUGUUUUCUUUCUACCAUGUGAAUUCCAGUGCUGGAUCGUGGGUCAUCAGGCUUGGCAGCAAGCUCCCUUAUUCAUUGAGCCAGCAAUGCUGGCCCUGCUUUGUGUGUAAAAAUUCAUUGGCUACUUUUUCUAAUGGUGCUGCCUCAAACUGACUUCUUUGAUCACUUGGGGAAAAGUUAUAGUUUUCUUCUUUGGUACAGAACAUGUUUCUGAUUUUUUACAUUAUACCAUUCCUUAGAAACUCAGAAAAGCUGGUAUUUGGCUACUUUUUUUUUUUUUCUUUUUCAAAAUUAUGUGUGCCUUGGAGAUAGGCAACUAGAAGAAUAUUCAUGUUACUUUCAAGAGUGUUUAAGAAGUGGAUAUGGUGGUGUGUGCCUGUGGUCCUAGCACGGGGACUCUGAAGGGAGACAGAAGCAGGAGGAUCUUCAGUGCAGGGCUAGCGUGGCCUAUGUGGUAAGGCCUUGGUGCCAAAACCGAGCACACGGACAGCUAGUCAAGGUUUUUUAACAGUUUAUUUUUGUCUACAUUUCUUUCUAGUUACAUAGAAAAAUACAGUUCAGUGUAGUUUAUAGAAAAGUAUGAUUUAAAGAAAAACAUACGAAGCCGAGCGAGAGUGUGCUCUUGCUCUUUUCUGUCCCUACCCCUCCCCUCCAGUGUGUCAUGUUUGCCGGUUGAUCCUGAUCUCAGUAUUUAGCUGAGGAUGGCCUUGAACUUAGUUCCAUAUUUAAUAUGGCAGAUUUGAAGGAAAAUAAUUUAGGCACAUAUGUAUUAAGAAAAGAAUGUUAGGGGGUGUGUCUGUCCUGGCUUCCACUCCUUUUUCCAUGCCACCAGGACUUAACCACAGAAGCCCCAGGUCUUAUUUAAUCCUACUUUCUGAAGUGCUCACCUCUAAAAAUCAUAGAGUGAGUUUCUACUUUCUGAAGUACUCACCUCUAAACAUCAUAGAGUGAAUUUCUGACCUCAUAACAGAGAUUGAGUUUCAGUGAGUGCAUGAACCAUUGGGAUAUACACUCAGUCCCAUCCAGAUCACAGCAGCUACCUCAGAGUUAACGUAGCCUGUUGGGCUCUGUAUUUCCCACUCGAAACAAACUUCAUGGGUUUUGACUUCCCUAUUCAUUGUCCUCCCCAUGCUGGGGAUUGAAGUCAAGUCUCUACACAUGCUUGGCAGCUGCUCUACCACUAAGCUGUAUCCUUAACCUAUUAAAGUGUCUUAUUUUUUAUGUGCCUUUUAAAAAAUACGUGUGUGUGUGUGUGUGUGUGUGUGUGUGUGUGUGUGUGUGUGUGUGUAGAUCAAAGGACAACUUUUGCAAGUCGGUUCUCUCCUUUCCAUGGAGUAUGAGGAUAGAACUCAGGUCAUCAGGCUUGGUGGCAGGCACUUGGACCUAGCUGAGCCACCUUAUGGGUCUUAUUCUACUUCUCACUCUCCACUCCUUUUAAAAAAAAAAAAAAGUUUUUCUUUUGAGGCAGGGUCUUGCUGAGUUGCCCUGACUGACUUGAACUCAGCAGCCUGCGGUCCCAGGCUCCUGACUACAGGCCCACAUCACAGUUGCAUAGGCCUGUACUUCAAAUUUAGGUGUUCCUCUCUCUCUCUCUCUCUCUCUCUCUCUCUCUCUCUCUCUCUGUUCCAAUCAAUCAAUCUCUCUCUCUCUCUCUCUCUCUCUCUCUCUCUCUCUCAUACACACACACACACACACACACACACACACACACACACACACACGGUUUUCUGUGUGAGAUGAUUAUAUUAUUUUCCUUACUGUUUCAUUCUGUUAAUAAAUAAAGGUUAACUGAGUUACUAGUUUGUUUUUUUGGGGGGAGGGAGGGUGUGUUUUGAGACAGGGUUUCUCUGUGUAGCCCUGGCUGUCCUGGAACUCACUCUGUAGACCAGGCUGGCCUCUGCUUCCCAAGUGCUGGGGUCAAAGGUGUGUGCCACCACUGCCUGGCCCUGAGUUACCAAAUUUAACUCAGUUCACCUGACUUAUGCUAGUUUACAACAAAUGGGAAGCUCUGUGCAGUUCUGAGAGAUUUGGAAAUAGAAAUUGAGGCAUGUGGGAUCAGACAAUGUAUGGAUUUGUCUGAAAAUGAAGGGGGCCUGAGAGAGAGGUCUACAGGCUACCAGAGCAACAGUGUUGAGUGCUAGCAUUGCGUUUGACAUUCUCAUUGUACAUUUGUUCUAUUCUUAUUUCCCCAGUGACAUGGGGAGUGAGAAGUUGGGCCUUUUACUUGUCUGUCUGGUUUGGAUGACUUAAGAGUUCAUUCCCAUGAUAGUAGCUGUGGUGGAAUAAGAGGCAUUGUCUCCUGUGGAUCAACUUUCCUAACUAGUUCUCCAACUACUAAGUGAAGAUCCUGGUUGUAUGUCUUGACUAAGUCGUGAAAUAUGAUUGAUUCAUCUAAGACCAUAUUCUGUUUUAUACUUUCUUGAUUAUUUGUUGUAAAAUGCAUUUUUCUCAGACAAGAAAACAACAAGAAAAAAACCGUUUUAAUGCUUGUCUUUAGAGCAGUUUGCGUUCUCAUUUUCAUGGCAUCACACAUCAGCAUUGUAUGUGAGGCAAAGAGUUUACUGCUGGGCUAUAGCCCUAGGCCCAAACUUUUAAUGUCUAUGGCCAUUUCCAAUUGAUGUUCAAGUUUUUAAAUUUUAGUUUUGUUUGGUUUUUCACAUAUCACUGUAUAGAAUAUUGGUUACUAAGGGGGAAGUCUUGACUUUAAAAAUCUGAACUGGGAGGAGGGGACUGAACUGGCCGCCGUCUCCUAUAACCAGGUAAUACUUCCAAUGGAGGGAUUGGGACACCCACCUAGACACAAAACCCUCAAUCUACAGUUUGUCCUGCCUAUGUGGAACAGAAAUUGAGGGAAUGGCCAACCAGUGACUGCGCAAGCUGAGAUCCAUGCCAUGAGAGGGAGUCUAUCCCUGACUCUGUUAAUGAUAUUCUGCCGUACUUGGAGACAGGAACCUAGUGAGUGUAAUUGCCAUCAGAAAGGCUUUACUCAGCAACUGAUGGAAACAGAUGUAGAGACCCAUAGCCAAACAUUAGGUAGAGCUUGGGGAAUCCUAUGGAAGAGGGGGAUGAGGGAUUGUAGGAGCCAGAGGGGUCUAGGACACCACAAGGAAAUCUACAGAAUCAACUAACCUGGGCCCAUAGAGGUUCAUAGAGACUGAACUGUCAACCAAGGAGCAUACUUGGUUGUACAGCCUGGUCUUCCUGUGGGACUCCUAACAGUGGGAGCAGAGGCUGUCUCUGACGCUGUUGUCUGCUUUUGGGACCUUUAUUCCCCUCCUGGGCUGCUCUUCUAGCUUCAAUAGGAGAAGGUGUGCCUAGUCCUACUACAAUUUGAUAUGCCAAGGCUGUUUGAUAUCCAUGGGAGGCCUCUCUUUCUCUGAAGAGAAAGUGGAGGGAGAGCUGGGAGGAGAGGAGGGAGGGGAAACUACUGUUGGGAGAUAAGGUAAAUUAAUUAACUAUAAAAAUCUGAGCCGGGCUUGGUGGCCCACGCCUUUAAUCCCAGCACUUGGGGGGGUAGAGGCAGGCGGAUUUCUGAGUUUGAGGCCAGCCUGGUCUACAAAGUGAGUUCCAGGACAGCCAAGGCUACACAGAGAAACCCUGACUUUAAAAAACAAAAACAAAAACAAAACACCCC